RNAcentral lists this transfer-messenger RNA (394 nucleotides) under Flavobacteriaceae. RNAcentral describes it as "Winogradskyella sp013003655 Standard tmRNA". It matches the Rfam family "transfer-messenger RNA". Rfam says of the family: Bacterial tmRNA, also known as 10Sa RNA or SsrA, is named for its dual tRNA and mRNA-like properties. RNAcentral also lists the same sequence under 1 other name. Lineage: Bacteria; Pseudomonadati; Bacteroidota; Flavobacteriia; Flavobacteriales. The record is from RNAcentral.
GGGGUCGACUGGUUUUGACAGCGAGACUUAUUAAAUGGUAAGCACGUCGUGUAAUGACUUUGAUACACGUAAAAGGCUAGGUCACAAUUUAAACGGCGAGAAUAACUACGCUUUAGCUGCCUAAUCUGAAUUACAGUAAGAUUAAGCCUCGUCCUACUAGGUAGGAAAGCUAAAUGUCUCUUGAAAGCCUUGGUUAGUGGCGUUCUAUUUAGAGGCAUCGUAAAAAUUAACUAAGAUUACGUAGUGCUUCGAUGCGUUUUCGAGAUUAAGAAGCUAAGUUAUAAGUAGACUGUUUUUUGCCGGCUUAUAAUCGAAAAUCAAUAAAAAACUAAACGUGUAGAAAGCUAUUUGGUAGCUUGUUUGGACGAGAGUUCGAUUCUCUCCGACUCCACAA